GGAUGGAUCUUAUGAGUCUGUGUGUGAAAGGUGUGAAAAGGAGAAAGCUGCCCGGCAACAAGGAGAAAAGGAAACGAAGAGUAACACCGCGAGGAAAAAGAAGCGGCUCUGAACACAGACACAACACUGCUCACAGACGACAUGAUGAAGAGUACAGAGUUACAGACACGGCCACGUCUGAUCGAUUCAUCGUCAAUAACCCAGUCAGAGAAAGAACCAAUCACAUCAGGUCUGACAGACCGGCGGCAAAGCCUCCAUCGCUGUCCCAGUGCAUCUAAAUCAGACAAAUUCAGCUAAUUUAAAAAGGCGAUAGUUUGCUUGUAUCUGAUUAACAGCUGCAGCGAUUCGUCAAUUAAUGGACAUUUUAUUGCUAUUUUUUUUUUUUUUUAACAAUUGAUGAUAAAUUGAUUAUUUGAUUUGCUGGUAGAAAAUAAAUCAUCUUGCUAUUCUGAUAAUAAAAUAAAUGUAAUGCAAAUGGAAACUGAAUCCUUGGGGUUUGGACGUUUGAUCAGACGAAACAAAAAUAUUUCCUAAGUUUUAAUGUUAGUGUAACGAUGGAAGUCAGUGACUCACUCGGGCGAACGGGGGCUUGUUAGAAAGCGCUGAUUCCCUAGAUUAAGGAGAAAAUGACGCUCUAAAGACAACGUGAUACUUGGAAGCGUAAACGCUCCCACAGACCGAAGAGGGAGAUCACCAAGGUCACUACAGUUCAUCCUGUGGGGAACAUGAAUGUAUGCCGGACCUAUGGAUCUAUCUGGAUCCGACACAUAAACUGUAAUGAAGCAACACUCAAAACGGCUGAGGAGAAAGAGAAAGAGAGCUAAUACUAAUGCUAAUGAUCAGAGAAGGUAUUUUAACUCGCUGACGAUCACUGGCUCAACAUAAAUGAGGCGCAGACUGGAAUCAGCUUCGAGGUAAUUGAUGACCGAGUGAGAUUCAUCGGGUUUGUUCCGCCUCUGCUCUGCCCUUCAAACCUCCUCUAAAUUCAAUAAUCAAAAAACACAGACUGACUUAAUCUGAAAUAAUCCAGAGCGGCUCCAUCAGAUUUCCAGAUUAGACAGAGAUUACAGAAAACUGCACUCAUCCCUGGAAAUGAUAAAGAGCACAGACCCUUUUACCGAGGCCUCAGCGGGUCAGACCACCUCCGAGGAAUCAUCUCUCAGAGGACUGGAAGAAGGUUACGAUUCACCCUGCGUUUUUCCUUCAGCUGUCACUUCAUCACUUCCUCAGUUCAUCCAACCAGCGACGAAUACGCGUCACUUCAGGUUAAGACCCGUCUCCGCAUCCGCUAAUCCCUUUUGUUUGCUCCCGUUUAUCCAUCCAGUCCUGUGACGUGUGCACCCUUCACAUCAUCCUCCUGCUUCCGUGAGUUCAAGUCUGUGCGGGGACACUGCUCCAUUCCACGUUUUCAGGUGGGAGAAACUCAGGUGGAGUAAAUUUUCCCGGGGCUGCUGUCCUCCGGGUCUUCCAGUUUCCUCAAGCCGCAGCCCAUGGCCUCCGAGGCGGGUACAGCCGCUCGCUCAGCUCGGUGGGAGGACCGGAGGAGCCGCUGUGCCUGCCGCCGACAGACAAGACACACAGACUCAGCCUCUCUUGUGCUUUCAACUUUAACGGGACCGCUCCAUCCCUCCUCUGUCCCCGCUGUUAAUCCCACCGAGAUAAUCAGUUCAAAGGUGGAACAACGGAAAAAAAAACCCGCCGGUUUAUGAAGAGAAAAGCCGCGCGGAGGAUUAUAACGACGAGCGGCUACUUGGUGGAAAAGUGUCCCGCCGGAGUGGCUGCAGGUCUGGAGCGUGGAGAGGAGGAGCGCUCUCCCUGGAGAAAAGUUUCCCCCACAAUCAAGGUGAAGAUCAGGAGCUCCCUGACCACUUGGGCCCAGUCACAAUACAGUAAUCUGGGUUUCUUUGGAUUUUGGAUUGUUUAUUAGACAAAACAAGAAAUACAAAUUUUUGCACUGAUCUCUAUAUUGUUGUAAUCCAUACUUACAUGACCUGAGAUCUCUGCAUUCUCACUAAUUAUGUGUUUUUUCCCUUGUUGUAGCCUAUGUUAUAAGUAUUGACUGCUGAAAUUUUAAUCAUUACUUGGCAUUAAAGUUGCAUUUCAGAAUAUUCACAUAAUAAAAAAAAAACAAG
Seriola aureovittata is the source of this 2132-nucleotide long non-coding RNA. RefSeq lists it as uncharacterized. The transcript has 3 exons. Lineage: Eukaryota; Metazoa; Chordata; Actinopteri; Carangiformes; Carangidae. The record is from RefSeq and is a predicted model, not a curated record.